UUUUACGGAGAGUUUGAUCCUGGCUCAGGACGAACGCUGGCGGCGUGCUUAACACAUGCAAGUCGAGCGGUAAGGCCUUUCGGGGUACACGAGCGGCGAACG
This 102-nucleotide ribosomal RNA is filed under the name Rhodococcoides fascians. Its description in RNAcentral is "partial 16S ribosomal RNA". It matches the Rfam family "Bacterial small subunit ribosomal RNA", at positions 1 to 104 of the family's 1533-position model. Lineage: Bacteria; Bacillati; Actinomycetota; Actinomycetes; Mycobacteriales; Nocardiaceae. The record is from RNAcentral.